This 1114-nucleotide long non-coding RNA is filed under the name Cricetulus griseus (Chinese hamster). RNAcentral's name for it is "lncRNA (ENSCGRG00015032321.1)". Lineage: Eukaryota; Metazoa; Chordata; Mammalia; Rodentia; Cricetidae. The record is from RNAcentral.
AAAAAAGAGCCAGGGGUAGUGUCACAUGCUUGUCAUCCUCAGUCUGUAGCAGUAAAUAAGGCAGGUCCCCAGGCCAGCCAGUCUAGCAUAAUUAACAAGCUCCAGGCCAAUGGAAAGUACAAAAAACACCUGCCUUGUAUAAAAAACAAGAUAGAUGGCACCUAAGGUGUCCUCUGGCUUCUAUCCCCCCCACCCCACACCCACACACAUAGGUAACCCCCACCCCCAUACACACACAUGCAAAAAACAGCAAUAGAAAGCCCAAAACAAAGAGAGAAAACUCCAGAGAUGCUUGUAUUCACGAGGGGUGAUGGCAAAUGGGUACUAAUGGAAGAACUAGGAAAUAACUCAUUGUACUCAUUUUAAUAGUGUCUUUUAAAAAGUAGAAAUAUGGCUGACAAUAAAAAUAUUCCUAGGCCAUUUGGAAACUUAAUUUAUUUAGUUUAUUUUUGUUUUCUGCCCUCAAGUCUUCCACCAGCACCACGACAGGAUGUUCAUGGACAGAAGCCAUCUGCAUCCACCCAGCUGUGAAAGAAGAGGAGGAGAGGAGGAAGAGAUAGAGAAGAGGAGAAGAAGAAGAGGAGGAGGAGAAGGAGAAAAGGAAGAGGAGAAGGAGGAGGAGGAAAAGAGGAGAGGAGGAGAGGAGGAGGAGAAAUGACCCAAAUUCCCAAAUCCAAACACACAUUAAGAACUCACAUGCAGAUUUUAGACAUACAUAGACUGGUGGGAGUAGAAGCAGACACCCAUAACUAAUCACCGAACUGAACUGGAACCCAGAUGCAGAGAAGGACCAGUGAAGACCACAGAGGUCCAGACCAGGCUGGUGAAACCCACAGAAACAGCUGACCUGAUCAUCCGGGAACUCUUGCUCCCCAGUCUGAUAGCUGGAAUACCAGCAUGGGACUGAUCCAGACCCCAGGAACAUGGGUUUCUGUAAGGAAACCUCAGAAAUCUAUGGGACCUCCUGUAGAAGCCCAGUAUUUAUCCCUAGCAUAGGUGUGGACUUUGGGAGCCCAUUCCAUAUAGAGGAAUACUCCCUGAGCCAAGACACAUGGGUGUGGGCCUAGGCCCUAUCCCAAAGGAUACGAUAGACUCUGAUGACACUCUAUGGAAG